UCCACUUCCUUAGGCGCACAGAUGCAAAACAAUUUAUAUCACAUGUUUGCUAUCUGUUACGCUAUAUUUUCCCACUCUGAAAUCUUAAUAUUUCCAGUAAGAAUAAUAUUCUGUUUAAUUUUAAUAGGGUCUCAUGGAAGAAUUUCUGGAUUAGGGAUCACAUAUGAUGUAAAAUAGGUAUUGCUCCUCAGUCCUCACUGUGAUCUUGUUAGUUAAUUAAACAGCAGCGUGAACGUAAUACAGUGACCAGUGCUGGCAGCAUGUCUUAGAUACGAAAAGGCUUGAUGCUUGCUAAAUAUUUUUUCACCUGACACAUGACUUGUACUAUUAGCUACCUUGAAAUUGUGUUGUGCAUUCUGACCUUAUUUUUGAAUCAAUGUGUGUGAGCUGCAUAUUUUAACUGCCACCCACAACAUUUUCUUCAUUGUUGCAGUCUGGUGGAAUAUGCACUCUUGAGGUUCUGAUCGAGACUAUGCGAAAAAGGAAAGAACAUAUGCUAUCUUCAGGUGUCUCUCUGUUCUUCGGCAAUUAAAUUCAUCACUGAAUACUGAAAUCCACUUCAAUCCUAACGUUUGAUCCGGGGAAAUUCAGUUAUGCAUAUUUAUGAGCACUGGUCAUAAUCUUUUUUUAGAUAAGCACACUCUUGACUUGAAUAAUUAUGUCUUAUAUGAAGUGGAGGCACAUGAGUUGGGGUGAUCUGUAUCGCCUCCGGCGGCAUCGGAUUCAUGGAAUUAGUAUAGCAGCUCUCGCGAGAGUUGGCUUUGGUGUUUAUUUUCAUGUUUAACUAUUUGGAUGUGUUCUUUGAAUGCCUCUGAUUGUCUGUGUAUAGUGUAUCUAAGCAUUCUUCCUUUUCUUUAUUAUUAAGAUGACUAAAUUUUGGAUAUUCUUUCAUACAUUUGAUAUUUAAUUGUGUUGUGUACUGUUAUGUUGUUAGAUCAGAAAGUGGGACUUUAAACCGUUUGGCCAUGGCCAUAUAGUUAGCUGCUUGGAGUACAUUAGAUGCACAUGUUCCUUUAGUUACAUGAUCCAUGAUGUAUGACAACAGACCUCCCAAUUGACUGGCGAUGUUUAAAUAGAUAUGACAAGAUUCAUAUGAUGUUUUCCUACAAAUCUAACUAUAAAUCCUAGAAGUGAGUUUUUAGUAAUUUGCUUAUUAAAUGAUCGUGUUGUUGUUUAAUUUUGCCUGAUUUAUUUCUGUGAAACAUACAUGAUCGUCUAUAGUUUCAUUUGGCCUGAAACAAAUUAAGUUGUAUUCACUCCAAACCUGCGUAUUUGUUAGCAUAUUUUUGUGUUUGUUUUGGUCGAUGGUUAGACAUGCUUUGCAUCAAUCAUUUCGUUUUUACAUGAGGAUGUAUGCAGUAAACAUUGUGUUGCAAUCUUAAUUUUUCUAUAG
RNAcentral lists this long non-coding RNA (1393 nucleotides) under Triticum aestivum (bread wheat). RNAcentral's name for it is "long non-coding RNA (TAES_LNC020525)". Lineage: Eukaryota; Viridiplantae; Streptophyta; Magnoliopsida; Poales; Poaceae. The record is from RNAcentral.